CGGCUCAGUAACACGUGGAUAACCUACCCUCAGAUCUGGGAUAACUCCGGGAAACUGGAGAUAAUACCGGAUAAUCCGUGAACGCUGGAAUGCCUUACGGUUGAAAGCUUUAGCGUCUGAGGAUGGGUCUGCGGCCGAUUAGGUAGUUGCUGGGGUAACGUCCCAACAAGCCGAUAAUCGGUACGGGUUGUGAGAGCAAGAGCCCGGAGAUGGAUUCUGAGACACGAAUCCAGGUCCUACGGGGCGCAGCAGGCGCGAAAACUUUACACUGCGCGAAAGCGCGAUAAGGGGACCUCGAGUGCGUGCGCAAAGCGUACGCUUUUCAGAUGCCUAAAAAGCAUCUGGAAUAAGGGCCGGGCAAGACCGGUGCCAGCCGCCGCGGUAACACCGGCGGCUCAAGUGGUGGCCGCUAUUAUUGGGCUUAAAGGGUCCGUAGCCGGACCAGUUAGUCCCUUGGGAAAUCUUACGGCUUAACCGUAAGGCUGCCAAUGGAUACUGCUGGUCUUGGGACCGGGAGAGGCAAGAGGUACCUCAGGGGUAGGAGUGAAAUCCUGUAAUCCUUGAGGGACCGCCAGUGGCGAAGGCGUCUUGCUAGAACGGGUCCGACGGUGAGGGACGAAAGCUAGGGGCACGAACCGGAUUAGAUACCCGGGUAGUCCUAGCCGUAAACGA
Molecule: ribosomal RNA, 672 nt
Filed under: uncultured euryarchaeote
Lineage: Archaea; Methanobacteriati; Methanobacteriota
Description: bacterial SSU rRNA
Rfam family: Archaeal small subunit ribosomal RNA
Source: RNAcentral